Molecule: long non-coding RNA, 319 nt
Filed under: Mytilus galloprovincialis (Mediterranean mussel)
Lineage: Eukaryota; Metazoa; Mollusca; Bivalvia; Mytilida; Mytilidae
Source: RNAcentral
UUAUUUCACACUUUUUUGUCCAGACUAUUUCUCGGAAUUGUAUGGACCAAUGAUGAUGGAACUUUACCAUAAUGUUAACCCCAAAGUGUAGAUGUGCAAUCGGGGGUUGGCACUUUCAAGAUGGCUACCGUUGUCAUGGAAACAGAAAGAAUGUGAAAAAUCGGAAAGUCUUCCAAACUGAUUGAAACUUUGUGGAAAUGUUACUUGGCAUGCGAAGACAUGCCAUCCGUCUUUGGAAUUUUAAAAUGGCCGCCGUUGCCAUAGAAACGGUACAAAUAUGAAAAUUUUCAAAAUGCUUUAAAAUCUCUGAAAAUUAGCA